GGCGGGAUCGCGUUGCAACGCGGCAAGGGCGAUGAGAGCGCGGAGGAGGCGCUGGUGGCCGAGUUUGGGGCGGGGACUGUCCCCAAUGCUCCGCAGCAAGGUUGGCUGAUUGUGGAGGCUAAAGCAACUCUACCUUGCCAGCUUAUCCACCAUGUGGACUUCUAAUUAAUCUCAGUUGCCGGAAUGCCUCUAAGAUUUCUACGUUAUCUACUGUGAAGAGCAAGUAAUUACUGCAAAUCCUGCCCUUGGGUCAAAACAACCUUGAUGACAUAUUCCUUCUGAAGCACAUAUACUCUUUCCCUAGGUAUAUAAGCCUUGGGUCUGGGGGCUAACGGUGCAGGGAUCCAUCAUCUCACAGCCACCCAAGACAUGGCUUUUGUUCAAAAAUCCCUAUUAAAUGUUUCAUUCUGAGA
This is a long non-coding RNA of Homo sapiens (human), 413 nucleotides long. Lineage: Eukaryota; Metazoa; Chordata; Mammalia; Primates; Hominidae. The record is from Ensembl.